This 751-nucleotide ribosomal RNA is filed under the name Marinobacterium rhizophilum. Its description in RNAcentral is "bacterial SSU rRNA". It matches the Rfam family "Bacterial small subunit ribosomal RNA", at positions 88 to 835 of the family's 1533-position model. Lineage: Bacteria; Pseudomonadati; Pseudomonadota; Gammaproteobacteria; Oceanospirillales; Oceanospirillaceae. The record is from RNAcentral.
CUUGAGAGCGGCGGACGGGUGAGUAACGCGUAGGAAUCUACCUGGUAGUGGGGGACAACAUUCGGAAACGGAUGCUAAUACCGCAUACGCCCUACGGGGGAAAGGAGGGGAUCUUCGGACCUUUCGCUAUCAGAUGAGCCUGCGUAGGAUUAGCUAGUUGGUGGGGUAAAGGCCCACCAAGGCGACGAUCCUUAGCUGGUCUGAGAGGAUGACCAGCCACACUGGGACUGAGACACGGCCCAGACUCCUACGGGAGGCAGCAGUGGGGAAUAUUGGACAAUGGGGGCAACCCUGAUCCAGCCAUGCCGCGUGUGUGAAGAAGGCCUUCGGGUUGUAAAGCACUUUCAGUGGUGAGGAAAGGGUAACCGCUAAUAUCGGUUAUCUGUGACGUUAGCCACAGAAGAAGCACCGGCUAAUUCCGUGCCAGCAGCCGCGGUAAUACGGAAGGUGCGAGCGUUAAUCGGAAUAACUGGGCGUAAAGCGCGCGUAGGUGGUUGAGUCAGUCAGAUGUGAAAGCCCCGGGCUUAACCUGGGAACUGCACCUGAUACUGCUUAACUAGAGUACGGUAGAGGGCAGUGGAAUUUCCUGUGUAGCGGUGAAAUGCGUAGAUAUAGGAAGGAACACCAGUGGCGAAGGCGACUGCCUGGACUGAUACUGACACUGAGGUGCGAAAGCGUGGGUAGCAAACAGGAUUAGAUACCCUGGUAGUCCACGCCGUAAACGAUGUCGACUAGCCGUUGGGAGACUUGU